Molecule: ribosomal RNA, 258 nt
Filed under: uncultured bacterium
Lineage: Bacteria
Description: partial 16S ribosomal RNA
Rfam family: Bacterial small subunit ribosomal RNA
Source: RNAcentral
UACGUAGGGGGCAAGCGUUGUCCGGAAUCAUUGGGCGUAAAGAGCGUGUAGGCGGCUUGGUAAGUCCGCUGUGAAAGUCCAGGGCUCAACCCUGGAAUGCCGGUGGAAACUGCCAAGCUCGAGUCCGGAAGAGGCGAGUGGAAUUCCGGGUGGAGCGGUGAAAUGCGUAGAGAUCCGGAGGAACACCGACGGCGUAGGCAGCGCCCUGGCUGUGAAUAAAGCUGACACUGAGGCACGAAAGCUGGGGGAGCAAACAGG